RNAcentral lists this non-coding RNA (102 nucleotides) under Acidovorax sp. MR-S7. RNAcentral's name for it is "TPP riboswitch aptamer (THI element)". It matches the Rfam family "TPP riboswitch aptamer (THI element)". Rfam says of the family: Vitamin B(1) in its active form thiamin pyrophosphate (TPP) is an essential coenzyme that is synthesised by coupling of pyrimidine and thiazole moieties in bacteria. RNAcentral also lists the same sequence under 1 other name. The record is from Rfam by way of RNAcentral. Lineage: Bacteria; Pseudomonadati; Pseudomonadota; Betaproteobacteria; Burkholderiales; Comamonadaceae.
CGGACGAAACAGGGGUGUCCCUGCCAUUGGGGCAGGCGGCUGAGAAAGACCCUCACACCCGAUCCAGAUCAUGCUGGCGUGGGAAGUUUCAGGCCUCGGUGC